CGGAGAGCAUUUCAAUUUCAGAAUUGUGUCACCGCUCUCUCCUCUCCCUACCACCGGGCGACUAUCAAAUUUCACGUUGCGCUUCGGAAAUGUAUUUCCCAUCGAAAAGCAAAAUGUAGAGUG
Molecule: non-coding RNA, 123 nt
Organism: Caenorhabditis elegans
Lineage: Eukaryota; Metazoa; Nematoda; Chromadorea; Rhabditida; Rhabditidae
Source: Ensembl